Molecule: long non-coding RNA, 1007 nt
Filed under: Citrus sinensis (sweet orange)
Lineage: Eukaryota; Viridiplantae; Streptophyta; Magnoliopsida; Sapindales; Rutaceae
Description: long non-coding RNA (CSIN_LNC001110)
Source: RNAcentral
ACAAACUCACUCACGCACGCACUCUUACUUCCCUUUUGACAAACCACAGAAUCACACCCACAAUCAACAAUCACCCACGCACUCUUACUUUCCGUUUGACAAACCACAUACGACGGACGAGCCCACAGACGACGGACCACCACCAUCACGUGAUCGAGGGAGUAGAACUCACGCGGUGGUGCGUUGGAGCCGCGGUUCUUUCGAGCUAAAAGGUCGGCGUUCCUGUUGGUUUUCGUCGGCGAGGAUGGUAGGGAAACGACGGUCGGCUUCCAAGCUUCAGAUCAAUACCUUGAUCGGUCGGUGGAGUUGCCGGGAUCGUGAAAUCCAACCGGGUCACGUUCGUGGGUCGGGUCGGGUUCACGGUUUUGAGCUAAAUCGACGGCGUUCUUGUUGGUUUUCGGCGGCAAGGAUGGCAGGGAAACGAGGGCCGGCUUCCAAGCUUCAGAUCAAUACCUUGAUCGGUCGGUGGAGUUGCCGGGAUCGUGAAAUCCAACCGGGUCACGUUCGUGGGUCGGGUCGGGUUCACGGUUUUGAGCUAAAUCGACGGCGUUCUUGUUGGUUUUCGGCGGCAAGGAUGGCAGGGAAACGAGGGCCGGCUUCCAAGCUUCAGAUCAAUACCUUGAUCGGUCGGUGGAGUUGCCGGGAUCGUGAAAUCCAACCGGGUCACGUUCGUGGGUCGGGUCGGGUUCACGGUUUUGAGCUAAAUCGACGGCGUUCUUGUUGGUUUUCGGCGGCAAGGAUGGCAGGGAAACGAGGGCCGGCUUCCAAGCUUCAGAUCAAUACCUUGAUCGGUCGGUGGAGUUGCCGGGAUCGUGAAAUCCAACCGGGUCACGUUCGUGGGUCGGGUCGGGUUCACGGUUUUGAGCUAAAUCGACGGCGUUCUUGUUGGUUUUCGGCGGCAAGGAUGGCAGGGAAACGAGGGCCGGCUUCCAAGCUUCAGAUCAAUACCUUGAUUGGCCGGUAGAGUGGCCGAUGGUGAAAUCCAACCGGGUCACGUUCGCGGGUCG